GCCGGGGUGGCGAAAUCGGCAGACGCGUGAGACUCAAAAUCUCAAGCCGCUUAUGCGGCGUGGGGGUUCAAGUCCCCCCUCCGGCA
This 86-nucleotide transfer RNA is filed under the name Elusimicrobiota bacterium. Its description in RNAcentral is "Elusimicrobia bacterium (activated sludge metagenome) tRNA-Leu". It matches the Rfam family "tRNA". From Rfam's summary of the family: Transfer RNA (tRNA) molecules are approximately 80 nucleotides in length. Their secondary structure includes four short double-helical elements and three loops (D, anti-codon, and T loops). Further hydrogen bonds mediate the characteristic L-shaped molecular structure. tRNAs have two regions of fundamental functional importance: the anti-codon, which is responsible for specific mRNA codon recognition, and the 3' end, to which the tRNAs corresponding amino acid is attached (by aminoacyl-tRNA synthetases). tRNAs cope with the degeneracy of the genetic code in two manners: having more than one tRNA (with a specific anti-codon) for a particular amino acid; and 'wobble' base-pairing, i.e. permitting non-standard base-pairing at the 3rd anti-codon position. Lineage: Bacteria; Pseudomonadati; Elusimicrobiota. The record is from RNAcentral.